Molecule: ribosomal RNA, 440 nt
Filed under: uncultured bacterium
Lineage: Bacteria
Description: partial 16S ribosomal RNA
Rfam family: Bacterial small subunit ribosomal RNA
Source: RNAcentral
CCUACGGGAGGCAGCAGUGGGGAAUAUUGCACAAUGGGGGAAACCCUGAUGCAGCGACGCCGCGUGAAGGAAGAAGUAUUUCGGUAUGUAAACUUCUAUCAGCAGGGAAGAAAAUGACGGUACCUGACUAAGAAGCCCCGGCUAACUACGUCCCAGCAGCCGCGGUACUACGUAGGGGGCAAGCGUUAUCCGGAUUUACUGGGUGUAAAGGGAGCGUAGGCGGUUUAGCAAGUCAGAAGUGAAAGCCCGGGGCUCAACUCCGGGACUGCUUUUGAAACUGUUGAACUAGAUUGCAGGAGAGGUAAGUGGAAUUCCUAGUGUAGCGGUGAAAUGCGUAGAUAUUAGGAGGAACACCAGUGGCGAAGGCGGCUUACUGGACUGUAAAUGACGCUGAGGCUCGAAAGCGUGGGGAGCAAACAGGAUUAGAUACCCCUGUAGUC